GCGCACGCUGGCGGCAGGCCUAACACAUGCCAGUCGAACGAACUCUUCGGAGUUAGUGGCGGACGGGUGAGUAACACGUGGGAACGUGCCUUUUGGUUCGGAAUAACUCAGGGGAACUUGUGCUAAUACCGAAUGUGCCCUUCGGGGGAAAGAUUUAUCGCCAUUAGGGCGGCCCGCGUCUGAUUAGCUAGUUGGUGAGGUAACGGCUCACCAAGGCGACGAUCAGUAGCUGGUCUGAGAGGAUGACCAGCCACACUGGGACUGAGACACGGCCCAGACUCCUACGGGAGGCAGCAGUGGGGAAUCUUGCGCAAUGGGCGAAAGCCUGACGCAGCCAUGCCGCGUGAAUGAUGAAGGUCUUAGGAUUGUAAAAUUCUUUCACCGGGGACGAUAAUGACGGUACCCGGAGAAGAAGCCCCGGCUAACUUCGUG
Molecule: ribosomal RNA, 432 nt
Filed under: uncultured bacterium
Lineage: Bacteria
Description: partial 16S ribosomal RNA
Rfam family: Bacterial small subunit ribosomal RNA
Source: RNAcentral